GAUGAACGCUAGCGGCAGGCUUAACACAUGCAAGUCGAGGGGUAGAGGAAGCUUGCUUCCUUAGAGACCGGCGCACGGGUGCGUAACGCGUAUACAAUCUACCUUUUACAGAGGGAUAGCCCCAGAGAAAUUUGGAUUAAUACCUCAUAGUAUUUUCGGAUCGCAUGAUUUGAUUAUUAAAGUUCCAACGGUAAAAGAUGAGUAUGCGUCCCAUUAGCUAGAUGGUAAGGUAACGGCUUACCAUGGCAAUGAU
RNAcentral lists this ribosomal RNA (253 nucleotides) under uncultured bacterium. RNAcentral describes it as "partial 16S ribosomal RNA". It matches the Rfam family "Bacterial small subunit ribosomal RNA", at positions 28 to 280 of the family's 1533-position model. The record is from RNAcentral.